RNAcentral lists this ribosomal RNA (448 nucleotides) under uncultured bacterium. RNAcentral's name for it is "bacterial SSU rRNA". It matches the Rfam family "Bacterial small subunit ribosomal RNA", at positions 330 to 793 of the family's 1533-position model. The record is from RNAcentral.
UCCAGACUCCUACGGGAGGCAGCAGUGGGGAAUAUUGGGCAAUGGGCGCAAGCCUGACCCAGCAACGCCGCGUGAAGGAAGAAGGCUUUCGGGUUGUAAACUUCUUUUAAGGGGGACGAACAAAUGACGGUACCCCUUGAAUAAGCCACGGCUAACUACGUGCCAGCAGCCGCGGUAAUACGUAGGUGGCAAGCGUUAUCCGGAUUUAUUGGGUGUAAAGGGCGUGUAGGCGGGAGCGCAAGUCAGAUGUGAAAACUCAGGGCUCAACCCUGAGCCUGCAUUUGAAACUGUGUUUCUUGAGUGCUGGAGAGGCAAUCGGAAUUCCGUGUGUAGCGGUGAAAUGCGUAGAUAUACGGAGGAACACCAGUGGCGAAGGCGGUCUGCUGGACAGCAACUGACGCUGAGGCGCGAAAGCGUGGGGAGCAAACAGGAUUAGAUACCCUCGUAC